This 260-nucleotide ribosomal RNA is filed under the name uncultured archaeon. RNAcentral's name for it is "partial 16S ribosomal RNA". It matches the Rfam family "Archaeal small subunit ribosomal RNA", at positions 717 to 982 of the family's 1478-position model. The record is from RNAcentral.
CGUCUACAUUAGAUACCCGUGUAGUCCCAGCCGUAAACUAUGCGCGUUAGGUGUAUCGGUGACCACGAGUUACCGAGGUGCCGAAGGGAAACCGUGAAACGUGCCGCCUGGAAGUACGGUCGCAAGGCUGAAACUUAAAGGAAUUGGCGGGGAGCACCACAACGGGUGGAGCCUGCGGUUUAAUUGGACUCAACGCCGGGAAGCUCACCGGAUAAGACAGCGGAAUGAUUGCCGGGCUGAAGACUCUGCAUGACUAGCUG